Long non-coding RNA from Oncorhynchus mykiss (rainbow trout), 2849 nucleotides. The record is from Ensembl. NCBI's taxonomy places the organism in Eukaryota, Metazoa, Chordata, Actinopteri, Salmoniformes, Salmonidae.
AUGUCUCCAUCUUAUUUAAUCUUCAUUUGUAUGGCUGCUGUUGCAGUUAAAGAAAGUUGUGCAGAUUUGGUUCCCACUCCCACUAUUGUAUUUUCCCCUGGGUACAUCAAUAUAGCUACACCUGCUACAGUACGAUGUGAGUCACCAAAAGGCACAGAGUGCAAAUUCUACAAAGAUCAUGACCCCAACCCUAUAAGGAAACUGGAUUACAAGCAGGGUGCUUGCCAGUUCAAGUUGCUCUGGAAUGAGUUCAAAAGGUGGAACAAGACUGAAGUAGAUCUCAGCUGUGUAAUUCUACAGAACAGAGAAGGUGAAACGAUCAAAACCUCAAAACCUAGUGAUGCUCGAAGACUUAAUGUGGGUGAUCCAAUUGGAAAGCCCAUUGUUCAGGUGUUGAAGAUUGGGAAUUACCUCAAUCUUCGAUGUGAGGCCAAGGCUGGCACCUCAUGCUACUUUUAUCUGAACAAUGGUGACUCACACUUUAAAAAACGACCCUACAAAGACAAUGUCUGUGUGGGGAGAGUGGCAGAAGAGGAACUGCAGAGGAAGAGGAGCAGUGCUGGAGAGAUCUUCAUCACCUGUGCUGUGGAGCUGGUGGUAGAGGGUGAAGAUACUGUGACAUCACAGCAUAGUGAACCCCUCGGUAUCACCAUAGAUGGAGCUACUAGUUCCCCAUCAACGUUCAGUUUACCUGUUCAGAAUGAGAAAAGCAACGAUACCACAGCCCAAGGAAGAGGUCCAGGGUUCCUCGUCGUCAUCAGUCUGGGUGCUGGUUCCCUUUUCCUGAUUCUGCUAGCUGGGUCUGUGCUGUGUGUUCUCCAACGCAAGUGUGGGGUUCAAGGCAGGCCUGUAAAUACUGGAAGCCCACCUGAACAGCAAGACCAAACCCCACCUUGUGUCUAUUCUGUCAUCACAAAGCCUUCUAGGGAUGAGGAAGAGGACACUAGUCUGCAAUACGCUACAGUGACAUAUACCGGUGACCAAGCUAGUCGUCAAUAUGCAACAGUGACAUCUACCGGUAACCAAGUUGGACCUGGGCGCACCAAGAUCAAGUUUGAAAUAGCUGGAGAGUACGCCCUCUUAGCAGAAUCAUAGAAGAAGAAACAUUUACUGGAUAACAUGUUUUGCCAUAGUUCACAGUUACAAUCCUAUAUUUUGUUUUCAUAUUGGAUCAUAAUUUACUCAUAGUACAAAAACAAAUCCUGCCACAACAUCAAAGACUAAAGAUAUCUACUCAACUAUUUGCAUUUUAGGUUAAAUGAAAUAAAUGAAAAGUACACUGUCUGAAACAUAAAAUAAAUAUUUUCCUUCAUUGAGUUACCGAAUCUAGUCAGCAGUCACCAAUCAGUAGUCACCAAUCUAUUUCACUCCUUGACAAGAGUCAAUAUAGACUCAAAGCCACAAGAGGGUAGAACACAUGUCAAACUUUGCUUGUUACAUCUCUACAUCUCUCUCUCUACAUCGCUCUCUUUAACCAUGUCUGGUGUAUAUUAGUUUUCAGUGGUGGAAAAAGUACUCAACAAACAUACUUAAGUAAAAGUAAAGAUACCUUCAUAGAAAAUGACUCAAGUAAUAGUAAAAGUCACCCAGUAAAAUUCUACUUGUGUAAAAGUCUAUAAGUAUUUGAUUUAAAAUAUACUUCAGUAUCAAAAGUGAAUGUAUAACUCAUUUCAAAUUCCUUAUCUUAAGCAAACCAGAAUGCACCAUUUUCUUUUUAUUCUUCUUUUUUGCAGAAGGCCAGGGGCACACUCCAUCACUCAGCCAUCAGUUACAAACAAAUCAUGUCAGUUUAGUGAGUCUGCCAGAUCAGAGGCAGUAGGGAUGACAAGGGAUGUUCGGCUGAUAAGUGUGUGAAUUUGACUAUUUUUCUGUCCUGCUAAGCAUUCAAAAUGUAAUGAGUACUUUCGGGUGUCAAGGAAAAUGUAUGGAGUAAAAAUUACAAUGUUUUCUUAAGGAAUGUAGUGAACUAAAAGUAAAAGAAGACACAAAUAUGAAUAUAGUAUAGAUACCCCAAAAACUACUUAAGUAUUACUUUAAAGUAUUGUUACUUAAGUACUUUACACCACUGUUACUUUAAAAAAUAUGUUUUGUUAAUAUCACAGUUUACUUACAGUAUGUGACUUUACUUCCACCUGUUGAUACACUACCUCCAUAUUUCCUCUCUCUGCUUCCUGAUUUUCUGCUACCCUGUAAACCCCACCUCUUCCUGUAGUAUGUCAACAUCUGUUCCUCUCAGACCAAUUGUAAACCCACAUAAUAAUAGCAAUAAUUCAAUAAUAUUUUAAAUACACUUUUUGCAAUUACAAGCAGUUCCUGCCAGUUAGGCCUGUAUAAGCCCAACCUAAUCUGGAAUACCCAGAACAAAAUAUUGCAUGAACAUAACUCUCAUAACCUCUGUGCUCCCGACAGACGUAACAUGUUCGUUACAGAUCUUAGGACAGAUAUGCCCACCCAGAUCAGUCUUAUCUACCCCUGCAAUUGGAGCACAUUACAAACCUAUGACAGCUAUAGGUAUGAUAGUGUAUAUGAAAAUGAUGCAUCAUCACAGAAGGGUCAUAGGUGGGAGCUAUUGUUUCACCAUAAAAGGAGAGAGGGGAGACACAAAAUACAGUGUGUCACUCUCACACUCACUACUGUGGCAUUGCCUGAGUCAUUAUCUACAACCAACAGCUCCUGUGUAUAUUUCUAAAAACAUUUUCCAGAGCAUGUGAAGAUAGUCGCCCCCGAAAGCAUUUCUCAUUUCCAUAUAUCCUGUUUCACUUCUCUCUCUGUAUUAUACAUAAUAACAGGUGGCAGGUUUAAAGAACUCUUAAUUAUGAUCCAAUGAAUGUGCUGCUGGUGCCUUAUGU